AUUGAACGCUGGCGGCAUGCUUUACACAUGCAAGUCGAACGGUAACAGGCCUUCGGGUGCUGACGAGUGGCGAACGGGUGAGUAAUGCAUCGGAACGUGCCCAGAGGUGGGGGAUAACGCAGCGAAAGCUGUGCUAAUACCGCAUGUGAUCUGAGGAUGAAAGCGGGGGACCAGGCAGCAAUGUUUGGCCUCGCGCCUUUGGAGCGGCCGAUGUCAGAUUAGGUAGUUGGUGGGGUAAAGGCCUACCAAGCCGACGAUCUGUAGCUGGUCUGAGAGGACGACCAGCCACACUGGGACAGAGACACGGCCCAGACUCCUACGGGAGGCAGCAGUGGGGAAUUUUGGACAAUGGGCGCAAGCCUGAUCCAGCAAUGCCGCGUGCGGGAAGAAGGCCUUCGGGUUGUAAACCGCUUUUGUACGGAACGAAAAGGCUCUGGCUAAUACCUGGGGCUGAUGACGGUACCGUAAGAAUAAGCACCGGCUAACUACGUG
RNAcentral lists this ribosomal RNA (492 nucleotides) under uncultured bacterium. RNAcentral describes it as "partial 16S ribosomal RNA". It matches the Rfam family "Bacterial small subunit ribosomal RNA", at positions 30 to 507 of the family's 1533-position model. The record is from RNAcentral.